AUCUGGAGAGAGGCGGCGCGAUUUCAGGCAAUCGCGACGUCCACCGAAGGGGAUAGUCCGUUGCGAGAUCCGCAGCGGAUCAAGCUCUCAGGUAACCGUGACAGAU
RNAcentral lists this non-coding RNA (106 nucleotides) under Bradyrhizobium sp. RNAcentral's name for it is "Glycine sequence". It matches the Rfam family "Glycine riboswitch aptamer", at positions 9 to 86 of the family's 94-position model. Rfam says of the family: This family represents the bacterial glycine riboswitch. Glycine riboswitches usually consist of two metabolite-binding aptamers domains with similar structures in tandem. The record is from RNAcentral. Lineage: Bacteria; Pseudomonadati; Pseudomonadota; Alphaproteobacteria; Hyphomicrobiales; Nitrobacteraceae.